Molecule: ribosomal RNA, 424 nt
Filed under: uncultured bacterium
Lineage: Bacteria
Description: bacterial SSU rRNA
Rfam family: Bacterial small subunit ribosomal RNA
Source: RNAcentral
GUGGGGAAUCUUGCGCAAUGGGGGGAACCCUGACGCAGCGACGCCGCGUGCGGGAUGGAGGCCUUCGGGUCGUGAACCGCUUUCAGCAGGGACGAGACUGACGGUACCUGCAGAAGAAGCCCCGGCUAACUACGUGCCAGCAGCCGCGGUAAUACGUAGGGGGCGAGCGUUAUCCGGAUUCAUUGGGCGUAAAGCGCGCGUAGGCGGCCGCGCAGGCGGGGGGUCAAAUCCCGGGGCUCAACCCCGGGCCGCCCCCCGAACCGCGCGGCUUGGGUCCGGCAGGGGAGGGUGGAACGCCCGGUGUAGCGGUGGAAUGCGCAGAUAUCGGGCGGAACACCGGUGGCGAAGGCGGCCCUCUGGGCCGGCACCGACGCUGAGGCGCGAGAGCUAGGGGAGCGAACAGGAUUAGAAACCCUAGUAGUCC